ACCAAUAACAAGCAUUACUCAUCGAUAGAAAUGCAAAUUACGAGCGAGAAUAUAAAAACUUUAAUUAGUUAAGCGUAAUAAAAUCUCUUCCAGAACUAAUCAGCAACUUGAUAAAACAACGUAAGUAUAAAUGAAGACCAUAGGUAUACAAGCAUGGUACAAGUAGAUAUUUACAUUUUUCAAUUCGUCCAGUCGAACGUUUUCUGUUCUUCUCAGUGAAAAGUGAACCUUCACAGCAACACAACGAAACCAUCAUGUCAAAAAUCAUCGCGAUCAUUUUCAGUGUUUUGUACAUAGCAGCCAUGGCUAUCCAAGUAUUUGGCAUCCCACAAUAUUACAGCGGGCCAAACCGAUACGGCGUUAAAUUGUACCCAUACCCUCUAAAUCCUGACAACACGGAUCCUAAACUACAACUUCAAUACAUGAUACAGCAAGCGAAUUACGAAGCCAAUAUGGAAAUAAUCAACAAUAUGGGCUAGAAUGUAUAUACUUCAUAUACCUAUUUUUUUUUUUUACCAGCGUUGCUUAUCAAUUAAUUAUAAUACCGAGAUAUAUAUUAUAUCUUCAGAGAUUUCCAUGACAUUUUCACCUAUCUUGGCCAUAUUGCCAAUGGCCCUUAUUAUAGUGAUAAUUUGUAGUACCAGAUAAUAGAAAUAGGUAUAAAGUUCAAAUAUAAUUCGAUUGUUUCUAA
Planococcus citri (citrus mealybug) is the source of this 691-nucleotide long non-coding RNA. RefSeq lists it as uncharacterized. Lineage: Eukaryota; Metazoa; Arthropoda; Insecta; Hemiptera; Pseudococcidae. The transcript is spliced from 2 exons. The record is from RefSeq and is a predicted model, not a curated record.